RNAcentral lists this non-coding RNA (41 nucleotides) under unclassified sequences. RNAcentral's name for it is "DUF805b RNA". It matches the Rfam family "DUF805b RNA". From Rfam's summary of the family: Bacteroidetes, Chlorobi (1 example), Proteobacteria. Lineage (Flavobacteria) The record is from RNAcentral.
ACGGCGUGUUCCGAAAAGCCGAAUGGUAAACAGAGUAGGAA